UGCAUGUGUGUGUGUGUAAAAACACGAGGGGUGCAUGAUGAACCACAUGUACUAAAAUGUCUGAAUUCUUUGUACUAUUUCUGCAACUUUCUCAAAGUCUGAAAUUAUGUCAAGAUGUGUUUUUAAAUGAUGAAAACAAAUAACGUAUCCCCCUAAAUGCCCAAGGACUGCUGUUUAAGAAUGUGUUUUGUAGCAUCUGGUGCAUUUUACCAAGAGGGACUGAAAUGAAUUCUGAUACACAUGUAGGAUGGCCUGUUUUGGUAGAUGCAUGGGAAAAAGCAUGAAGAAUUUCCACCAACCUAUGGACUGACAUAUUCAACUCUGAGAGAACUUCCAGGUAAACAUGGUCGGCUACUCAUGUGUUAUCUCCACCCCCGCAAGCAACAUGAACUGCACCAUCACUGACUUCUAAAGAUGAUAAAUCCUCCCACCGAAGGGCACGUAGUUUUGGAAGAUGGACACAGAAGGGCUGACAGCAAACACAGCCUCCAGUGUUCCCUGCUCCACUGAGCAUCCUCAGAGGGAGACAGCACAGGGACACCUGGAGCAGAGCGAGGCCCAGCGGAGCCCAAGAGACAGGGGAGGGGAAGGCAAGGAAGGAGGAAGGCAGGGGGAAGGGAAGGGGGUCAGCAAGAGAAAAAAGGUGCAUGGGUUGAGUCUUUUAUCACAAACUGUUAGCUACAUUCCCUCUGCCGCACCUCGGAUCCCAGGUCUCUUUUCUCAUCCUCACUGAUAAAGAGACUCCUCCUGACGCCCCCGUGCAGGACAGCGCAGCUUAACCCGUGGGGACACUAAGCCCAGUGCAGGACAGGGAUGCUCACCUAACAGGCGACAGGGGAUCUGGGGAAAGACACCAGCUUCCACCAAGCUUCCAUGCCAUGGCAAGGAUGUCGGCAGCUGGACCCAGGCUCCCCUGGGCACUGAAGGAGUCUCCUCCUGCAGGUUCCGCAGGGUCCCACUGCCUGGAGACCAGCAGCCAGCACACUGUCCCCACAGAGAGACUUCAAACCACUAUGCAGGGCCCCUUCUUCCAUGGGAAGUGAUGAAGGGGCAACCAAGGUCUGCCCUGUGUCUGGGGAACGCCCCAACGUGAAAGCAAGCAAGCUGGCAGGAGGGAGCCUGGAGGAGAAGAACAUUCCCAGAGCUCACAGCACCCCCAGAGAGCCAACAGAAGACUAAGUUGAACCUCCCCGCAGAGAGCCAACAGAAGACUAAGCUGAACCUCAGGACACUCCCAUUUUUUUUUUUUUUUGUGGCUGAAAACCUGUUAUCAAUUUCACAUGAUUCAGUCUAACAUGAAAUAAAACAGGAUGCACUGAAAGGGCAGAGAAACAUCAGUAAACAUUGAAAAUAUGGCAGGAAAAGUAAAAUGGUCGAUACAAAGGUGGAAAAUAAAGUCAAGAAUCUCCCUGAGAAAGUGUAAGAAAGAACAGGGAGACAGGCAGGAAGGGAAAGAAAGAAAGGAAAGUUGAAGGAUUAAUCCAGAAAAGCCUACAUCUGACUAAUACAUUUUCCAGAAAGAAAAAACAAAUCAGAAAAUGGUAGGAAAACUUAUCAAACGAAUAGGGGCCCAAUUCCCCUAAAAUGAAGGGCAGGUGUUUCCAGACUGAAGGUGCCACCAGGUGCCCCAGGACGGUGGAUGAAGAAAGGCUCCCGGGGUAAGGAAGGGAACCUGGAGAUUUCUAAGAGAAAAAAGAGAAGGUCAGAAAGCAAGGGCUGGGGUCAGAAUGUCUGUGAACGUGUCAGUGACGGCAAUGGAGGCUGGAAGACGGGGGUUCUGAAGAGAAGGUGUUUCCACGUCCACAUUGCCUCAGGCGAGAGCAGAAUCCAGCCAUCACGCACUUGUAAGCUUGCAGAACCCACCUCCCCUAACUCAGGAAGCUGCUGGGAGACAGUUUCCACCACAGGAGUGGUAAACGGGUCUAGACUGCUAGGGCUGUGUCGCAGGCAAGAGAGGAGGGGGACUCCCAGCACCGUGGUGACAGGUGCUCUGGGGCCAAGCCGCGCAGUGGGCGGAGUGAGGCUGAUGGCGUGAAAGGGGUGGGGCAGGGCAGGAUGGCGGCCACGGUGCAGGGAAGGAAGAACUUUGUCGGAAAUGUGAAAAAGAGGAAAAGAUGAGAUGUUUACUUACCCGGGAAAAAACAAGAUGUAUCUAUUGAGGGUGCAUAAUUAAAGUUUGUUUCUUGGCUGGAAAGUGAAGGGCAGAAGCAUGGCUGGUAUAACUGAGGAGGAGGAGGGGUGGGCAAUGUCGGGGUGGAAGGGAGCCAGGUCCCCUCUUCCGUAAGAGGAGCACAGCUGAUGACGUUCAGAUGAUGAACCAAGAAACAUGGAAAUACGUAGGUAAGCAGAGAGAGGCAGCUGAAAUUGGCUGCCUCUAGAAAGAGAGGGCUGGGGAGGGGGACGGAACGCCGCUGUACAACAUGAUAAGCUUGUAGGACUGUCUGGCUUCUAAGGUACAUUAUGUUUUACUUUAAUAAAUAAAAAUUAACUUGAAGAAAAAUGCAGUGCCCUAUUUAAUUGCUCUGCAUGAAAUGUACAGAAACGGCAACCCCUGCGAUUCUAAGCACUGCGAACGCCCCAGGCGCACACCGUGUCAACCAACCGUGUGGCACUUGGGAGAAGGCAGGGGUGAUUUACGAUUAGUCAUGCUUCGCCUCCACCCGAGUCACUGCCAAGGAGUGGACAGUGACACUGAAUAAGCAUGCGGGCAACUCCCUCGGGAAGGGACUUGGCUGACAUGGUGGCCUUCCCACUGGAGCCUGUACUUUGUCUCGCUGGGCAGCACUCACUCAUGGAAGGAACAAUGACCAAAGCGUGGUGGUGGGGGUGGGUAGGCCUGAGCGCCGUUUCCAUGGUGACCAUUCACUGAGCAGGCAGCAGGCACUGAUGGGCAGUGGAGCCUGGAGGAGUCGGGUC
RNAcentral lists this long non-coding RNA (2916 nucleotides) under Pan troglodytes (chimpanzee). Its description in RNAcentral is "long non-coding RNA NONPTRT009497". The record is from RNAcentral. Lineage: Eukaryota; Metazoa; Chordata; Mammalia; Primates; Hominidae.